GUCGAGCGGACAGAAGGGAGCUUGCUCCCGGAUGUUAGCGGCGGACGGGUGAGUAACACGUGGGUAACCUGCCUGUAAGACUGGGAUAACUCCGGGAAACCGGAGCUAAUACCGGAUAGUUCCUUGAACCGCAUGGUUCAAGGAUGAAAGACGGUUUCGGCUGUCACUUACAGAUGGACCCGCGGCGCAUUAGCUAGUUGGUGAGGUAACGGCUCACCAAGGCGACGAUGCGUAGCCGACCUGAGAGGGUGAUCGGCCACACUGGGACUGAGACACGGCCCAGACUCCUACGGGAGGCAGCAGUAGGGAAUCUUCCGCAAUGGACGAAAGUCUGACGGAGCAACGCCGCGUGAGUGAUGAAGGUUUUCGGAUCGUAAAGCUCUGUUGUUAGGGAAGAACAAGUGCAAGAGUAACUGCUUGCACCUUGACGGUACCUAACCAGAAAGCCACGGCUAACUACGUGCCAGCAGCCGCGGUAAUACGUAGGUGGCAAGCGUUGUCCGGAAUUAUUGGGCGUAAAGGGCUCGCAGGCGGUUUCUUAAGUCUGAUGUGAAAGCCCCCGGCUCAACCGGGGAGGGUCAUUGGAAACUGGGAAACUUGAGUGCAGAAGAGGAGAGUGGAAUUCCACGUGUAGCGGUGAAAUGCGUAGAGAUGUGGAGGAACACCAGUGGCGAAGGCGACUCUCUGGUCUGUAACUGACGCUGAGGAGCGAAAGCGUGGGGAGCGAACAGGAUUAGAUACCCUGGUAGUCCACGCCGUAAACGAUGAGUGCUAAGUGUUAGGGGGUUCCGCCCCUUAGUGCUGCAGCUAACGCAUAAGCACUCCG
Molecule: ribosomal RNA, 826 nt
Filed under: Bacillus sp. U1003
Lineage: Bacteria; Bacillati; Bacillota; Bacilli; Caryophanales; Bacillaceae
Description: bacterial SSU rRNA
Rfam family: Bacterial small subunit ribosomal RNA
Source: RNAcentral